ACUAACGGUGCAUUCGUCAAGCUAAAUAGUAUCACCGCAACUCAUAAUAUCCAUAACAUAUACAAAAAUCCACAUCCAUAGCAACUCCUCAGGUAUAACAAUCUGAUGGUAUCCUGAUGCCAAGUCAAUCUUCAAGAACCAUGAACCUCUUGUAGGUAAUCCAACAACUCAUCAAAUACGUGGAAGCGAUACUUAUCCUUAAGGGUCCCUUUGUUCAGAUCUCUGUAGUCGAUACAAUUCUGAAACUCUCAUCUUUCUUCUUUACAAAAAUAAUGAUGCUCUCCAUGGUGAAGUAGUAAAACCCAUGUAUGGUGAAUCUUCCAUAUGCUCUUUCAGCUCGGUCAUCUCUGCUGCCGCUAAUCUGUAUAGAAAACGUGAAACCGGUUCUGUCCCUUACUCCAACCCGAUCGUAAGAAAACGGCUCCUCUUGCUGGUGACAGCCCUUCCAAAGGCCUCAACUACAUCCCGAUACUAUGCAAUAACCCCAAGAUCCUGCAACUCAUGUUGUCCAUCGUCCUUAACCAUCGAAAUGGUCACCAAACAUCUAUUUACUCAUAUAUCCAAUAACUCCUUAGCAUGUAGCAAGCAGAUAGUAAAAACUCUCAUCGUAUCCCAGAAUAAGAACUCUCGCCCUCAGGCAAAUCAACACUGACAUCCUUUAGCUCCAUCUCUGACGAAUCUCUGAAUAACUCGACUCCUCCAUACAUAAAUGGUACAACUCGUAUAUAAAUAGCUCUCAAUGUCCUAUGUCAGCUGUCCGAACUAACACACCUCUGAAACGAUCAACAAUACCAAAAACUGGCAAACAAAACCAAGCGUAACUCCAAUAUCAACAUAACGCAAGCUGCUGCACCCCAAUUCAAAAGCGAUCUCCACGAGUUCACAAACAAAAUAUACCUCCAAGGUAAAUUAAACCAUGAGCUACUAAACCAAAAUCAGGGUCGUUACAAUUCUCCCACACUUAUAAGGAAUUCGUCCUCGAAUUCAAAUCCUGACUAACAGUCCAAUACCAUCCAAAACAAAACUAUGAAUAAUUAAUCCUCAUCUGAGUCUUGGUCUCCGAGAUCUCUUCCUCGAUUCCAAGUUUAUCCCAACGAGCUUUGACCAACAUGGUCAUCAUCCCCUGAUCUGCUUUCACUUGUCGACCCAAAAUCUCAAUUGAAUGAAUAGGUGCAUACAAUUUAUUUUUUUUUUUAUUACCAAGAUCACGUCGUGGCUACUACAAAAUAAACUAUGGCUUUCUCACGACCUUCCUCAAUACCAACCCGUCAUGGAAUUCUGACAACUUUGCUGAUAACUGCAAUCUAUAAACCAUUGUUCCACAAAGGGGGUACGGUCACAUAUAUUUAGGUUUAAGCUUCCUUUAGCUCCCGAGUCUUAGAUCCUCUCUGAAAUGUCUUCAUUUUUAGGUACACUAAAUUAUCCAACUGAACUUCACAGUUUCUCUAGUAUUAAUUGCAUUUUUUUUUGUCAUCAACUUCUUUUAGGUGGUUAUUGAGCAUUUCUAUUUGCUUCAAUGUCCUUUAAACCAUUGGUUGCUAUAUGUCAUAGUGCUUCCCUACUUUGGUCUAUGAUGUGUGUGAAUGAUCUUCCAUAAAGAGCUUCGCAAGGUGAUAUCUGAAUGCUCGAAUAAUAAUUGUUACUGUACAUGAACUAUUUCGGCAGUACAUACUUUACUAAAUUAUUUUUUUUUUUUUCGUAGCUAAGCACUAAGUCAAGGGCACGUCCUCUAGAUUUUAACUUAGUGAUACGGUCCAUGAUCGCUCAUAUAUUAUUCUUCAUGAAACUUGACUCCGAUAGUCCAAUCAGUAAGCCCAUAAUCAACAUAUCUCAUUUCCAAUCUGGAAGAAGUAGAUUGUGUAAUAAUCCCAUAAAUAAUUUUGAUGUUCUGUUUUAACCAUCAGAUAAGUCUGACAUGGAGAUACAAUGUAGCUACAUCUUUUUCUCUUUUUUUUUUUCACUCUAGACCAAUGAUGGUAACAUUUCAGAUCUAUGCACCUCUUAGGUGUCGGCCAUUCUGAACUUGUAAUAAUUCUUUCUGAAUAAACAGCAACUCCUGCUUCUGAACACGUGAUCCAAAAAUUUAAUUUAAUUUUUUUUCCUUUUCCAGAAACUACACCUACUCCGUUAGCAACCAAUUUAUGCUCACGAUCCGUAACUGCUCAAGAUGCUCCUCUUUGCUCCAAGAAUAAAUCAGGAUGUCAUCGAUGAAUAUAAUUGCGCACUUAUCCAAGUGUUCAUGAAAACAUCAUUCAUAAGCUUCACGAAUACUAACGGUGCAUUCGUCAAGCUAAAUAGUAUCACCGCAACUCAUAAUAUCCAUAACAUAUACAAAAAUCCACAUCCAUAGCAACUCCUCAGGUAUAACAAUCUGAUGGUAUCCUGAUGCCAAGUCAAUCUUCAAGAACCAUGAACCUCUUGUAGGUAAUCCAACAACUCAUCAAAUACGUGGAAGCGAUACUUAUCCUUAAGGGUCCCUUUGUUCAGAUCUCUGUAGUCGAUACAAUUCUGAAACUCUCAUCUUUCUUCUUUACAAAAAUAAUGAUGCUCUCCAUGGUGAAGUAGUAAAACCCAUGUAUGGUGAAUCUUCCAUAUGCUCUUUCAGCUCGGUCAUCUCUGCUGCCGCUAAUCUGUAUAGAAAACGUGAAACCGGUUCUGUCCCUUACUCCAACCCGAUCGUAAGAAAACGGCUCCUCUUGCUGGUGACAGCCCUUCCAAAGGCCUCAACUACAUCCCGAUACUAUGCAAUAACCCCAAGAUCCUGCAACUCAUGUUGUCCAUCGUCCUUAACCAUCGAAAUGGUCACCAAACAUCUAUUUACUCAUAUAUCCAAUAACUCCUUAGCAUGUAGCAAGCAGAUAGUAAAAACUCUCAUCGUAUCCCAGAAUAAGAACUCUCGCCCUCAGGCAAAUCAACACUGACAUCCUUUAGCUCCAUCUCUGACGAAUCUCUGAAUAACUCGACUCCUCCAUACAUAAAUGGUACAACUCGUAUAUAAAUAGC
RNAcentral lists this long non-coding RNA (3003 nucleotides) under Brassica napus (rape). RNAcentral describes it as "long non-coding RNA (BNAP_LNC005689)". Lineage: Eukaryota; Viridiplantae; Streptophyta; Magnoliopsida; Brassicales; Brassicaceae. The record is from RNAcentral.